This 230-nucleotide ribosomal RNA is filed under the name uncultured bacterium. RNAcentral describes it as "partial 16S ribosomal RNA". It matches the Rfam family "Bacterial small subunit ribosomal RNA", at positions 118 to 347 of the family's 1533-position model. The record is from RNAcentral.
UGAGCAAUCUGCCCUUCACUCGGGGAUAAGCCUCGGAAACGAGGUCUAAUACCCGAUACGACCAGCCUUCGCAUGAGGUGCUGGUGGAAAGUUUUGUCGGUGGAGGAUGUGCUCGCGGCCUAUCAGCUUGUUGGUGGGGUAAUGGCCUACCAAGGCUUCGACGGGUAGCCGGCCUGAGAGGGUGAUCGGCCACACUGGGACUGAGACACGGCCCAGACUCCGUACGGGAG